AACAACUUCACCUAAAUGAAAAUGCUAUGAUGCCAGGAAGCCCCUGGGUGCUCGCUUUCCUUUAAGGGGUUAAAUCGCUCUCAAAUGGUUUAACCCCAAAGGCUUCCUCCAGCUCCAGGUCGCUCAGUGGUAUUUGGCUUCUGAAACAGAGUGUCUGGAAGUGCAGAUUGACGUCAGGCUUGGGUGCCGCUGAUUGGCUAGAGUGGACAGUUGACGCUCUAAGCCAAUCGCUAGUUCCCGGUUCAUAAAAUAUUUUCACUUUUUUAUGAAUGGGGAGCUACUGAUUGGCUUAGAGUGCCAGCUGACCGCUCUAGCCAAUCAGCAACACCCCUACCCAACGGCACUCUGUG
Non-coding RNA from Pelobates cultripes (western spadefoot toad), 350 nucleotides. Lineage: Eukaryota; Metazoa; Chordata; Amphibia; Anura; Pelobatidae. The record is from the annotation of a GenBank genome assembly.